AGUGAACGCUGGCGGUAGGCCUAACACAUGCAAGUCGAACGGAAGCACAGUAAGAGCUUGCUCUUACGGGUGGCGAGUGGCGGACGGGUGAGGCAUACAUCGGAAUCUACUUUUUCGUGGGGGAUAACGUAGGGAAACUUACGCUAAUACCGCAUACGACCUACGGGUGAAAGCAGGGGAGCUUCGGACCUUGCGCGUUUGAAUGAGCCGAUGUCGGAUUAGCUAGUUGGCGGGGUAAAGGCCCACCAAGGCGACGAUCCGUAGCUGGUCUGAGAGGAUGAUCAGCCACACUGGAACUGAGACACGGUCCAGACUCCUACGGGAGGCAGCAGUGGGGAAUAUUGGACAAUGGGCGCAAGCCUGAUCCAGCCAUACCGCGUGGGUGAAGAAGGCCUUCGGGUUGUAAAGCCCUUUUGUUGGGAAAGAAAAGCAGCAGGUUAAUCCCCCGCUGUUCUGACGGUACCCAAAGAAUAAGCACCGGCUAACUUCGUG
This 492-nucleotide ribosomal RNA is filed under the name uncultured bacterium. RNAcentral describes it as "partial 16S ribosomal RNA". It matches the Rfam family "Bacterial small subunit ribosomal RNA", at positions 29 to 507 of the family's 1533-position model. The record is from RNAcentral.